AUGGAGGUAGCAGCAAAAUCGGGAUUAUACAUCCUGGAUGUGGACUUUUGGGAUAAUGAUGCUGGUUUUUCUACUGGGAAUUAUACUACGAGGAAUGGUGAUAUAUUUAUUUUGUCUAGCAUAAAACCUGAAGCUGCAGAGGACUUAAACCGCCAUGGUGUGACAUACUGCUUGGCAAUGGUUACUGAGGUUUCUAUGGAUGAUGAAUACCAGAAGGGCUUCAGAGUCAAAGUUGCAAACAAUAUUGGUUUGGAAGAAGACUUAAACAAACUCAAACAUGCAAUAUUUCUCAGCAAUAUCACGACAAGCAUGCGGAUAUGGAAAGCACUUACCUUUGACACGCACAUAGAUAACAAUUUCACAGUAAUCAAGUCGCUCUUAGCCCCCACAAAUUUGGGUGAGGAUGUUUGUGAUGUCUGUAUUAAACAGCAUGGUGGCUGUUUGGCUUCUUUCACAGAGCAACUACUUUCGAUUAAGCUUAAUCGAUCACAAAUGGAUGCCAUUGAAUCUGUCAUCUCAGCUGUACAGUGUGGGCAUGUGAACCUCAUGAAGCUUAUAUGGGGCCCACCAGGUACUGGAAAGACCAAGACACUUAGUGCUUUAUUGUGGGUUCUGGCACGUUUGAAAUGCAGAACUCUGACUUGUGCUCCCACUAAUGUUGCUGUCAUUGGAGUUUGCACUCGUUUCCUUAAGAAAAUGAAGAAUUUCAGUGAGAUAAUUGAUGAAAAUGGUCUGCCUUUUUCUUUUGGAGAUAUCUUGCUGUUUGGAAGCAGGUCUAACAUGGACAUCACCGAGGAUCUUCAGGAAGUUUACUUGGAUUUUCGUGUUGAUGAACUUGCGGAAUGCUUUUCAUCGUCGUCUGGAUGGAACUACCGAAUAGCUUCGAUGGUAUCCUUUUUUGAAGACUCUGUUUCACGGUAUGAUAUGCUUCUUGAGGAUGAUGGCAAAAUUGAUCCAGUGUGCUUUCUGGACUUCAUAAAGAAGCAAUUUGAUGCAACAGCAAUAGCUCUGAAAAGAUGUGUAAUGAGUUUGUGGGUUCACCUUCCUGGAAGAUGCUUUUCUCAUGAUAGUGUCAUAAAUAUAUCUAUGUUGCUUAAUAUGCUAGAAAAAUUUAGCACCCUUCUGUGCAAAGCAGACUUGACCGAUGAGAGCUUGAAAAGGGGCCUUGGUUGUCUGUCUACUGUAAACUCUGUUUGUGUAAAGUCUAUAUCUUCACUUGAGAAGGAACUGGAUGGAGCAAGGUCCACAUGCCUUAAAUUGCUUAAAGAUCUGCUACACUCUCUUAACUUACCUACUGGAGUAGACAAAAACUGGGUGAAGAACUACUGCAUACGUAAUGCAACACUUCUUUUCUGUACUACCUCUAGUUCUUAUCACUUACAUGACAUGAAUAUUGCACCCCUCGAUGUAUUAAUUGUUGAUGAGGCUGCUCAAGUACGGGAGUGUGAACUGGUGAUCUCACUACGGCUACAUUUGCUAAAACAUGUUGUUUUGGUAGGGGAUGACUGUCAGCUGAGUGCGAUGGUUAAAAGCAAAGUAUGUAAAGAAGCUGGAUUUGGAACAAGUCUUUUUGGGAGAUUAAUUGCUCUAAAAGUUGAAAAACAUUUGCUGAAUAUACAGUAUCGCAUGAAUCCUUGUAUCAGCUUAUUUCCAAAUGCUCAGUUUUAUGAGAGGAAGAUCUUAGAUGGUUCCAGUGUCCUAUCUCCUAGCUAUAAUAAGGAUUACACAUGCCUCCCUUUUGGCAGCUACACGUUUAUAAAUGUCACUGAUGGAAGGGAAGACAAAGAGGGCGGAAACAGUCGGAGAAACAUGGUUGAAGUUGCUAUUGUUUUGCACCUAAUCCACACCAUCUUUAAAUCAUGGAAAAAGACAGGCCAAGGUUUCAGCAUCGGUGUGGUCUCUCCAUAUAAUGCUCAAGUUGAUGCAAUCAAAAUUAGACUUGGCAAAAAAUACGAUGCAUGCGAUGGCUUUAAUGUGCGGGUGAAGUCCAUUGAUGGUUUCCAAGGAGAAGAGGAUGAUAUAAUAAUACUAUCAACUGUUAGAUCCAAUGGGAGAGGAGUUGUUGGAUUUCUUGCUGAUAACCAAAGAACAAAUGUUGCUCUUACUAGAGCAAGGCACUGUCUUUGGAUUGUUGGGAAUGCUCAUACACUGUAUAAAAGUGGAACCGAAUGGACAGAUCUUGUUGCUGAUGCAGAAAGGCGGAAAUGUGUUUUCAGUGCCACUAAUGACGCAACCAUCUGUAGGUUGGUUUUGCAAGUAAAGCAAGAGCUUGAUGAACUUGAUGAUCUUCUGAAUGCCUAUUCAGUGGUUUUCAGCAAUACCAGAUGGAAGGUCAUUCUUAGCGAUGAGUUUAGGAAGACUUUCACCAAACUAAAAUCACCACAGCUCAGGAGGGAAGUACUCCAAAAGCUUAUCAAACUUGGACGUGGUUGGAGGACAACAAUUAAGAACCUCGAUAUACCUGGUGUUUCUCAUCUUCCAAAAGUAUACAAGGUUAGGGACCUGUAUCUUGUAUGGAGUACUGACAUGGAGAAAACCGAAAGAAGGUAUUUCCAGAUAAUUAAAAUUUGGGACCUACAAUCACAGCAAAGUGUUGCAAGAACGGUUCAACGUCUCGAGAAUUUGUUUUCCAUGUACACGGAUGAUUACCUGGAUCACUGCAGGAGAGUGCAAACACAGGGGAAACUGGAGGUUCCUAAGGUUUGGGAUGUUGGGCAUGAUAUUAUUCGCUAUAACAUGGAUUGCAAAGUUGAUGCUCAUGAAGAGCAUGAUCUCGCAGAUACAUCAUAUGCCAUUGAGAAUUCAAAAGUUAGUGAAAGCUUCUUGCUGAUGAAGUUCUACUCUUUAUCAUCUGGAAUGGCAAAGCAUUUGCUGACAGCUACUGAUGGGUCUGAAAUCAACAUCCCCUUUGAACUGAGUGAUGAAGAGCGGGUGGUAAUCCAAUUCCCGCUCACUAGUUUUAUACUUGGGAGGUCGGGCACCGGAAAAACUACUGUAUUGACAAUGAAACUGAUUCAAAAAGAGCAACUGUCAUUGAUUGCAUCCCAAGGUCUAAAUUUGGAUGGAGCUGAUUUGUCUGUGGUGGAUGAAAAUAAUAUUAUGCCACUAAAGAAUGAAGGAGAAAGUUCUGUGAAACAAGUAUUUAUCACUGUGAGCCCAAAGUUAUGUUCAGCCAUAAAAGAUCACAUCUGCAGACUUAAAACGUAA
Molecule: ribosomal RNA, 3207 nt
Filed under: Triticum aestivum (bread wheat)
Lineage: Eukaryota; Viridiplantae; Streptophyta; Magnoliopsida; Poales; Poaceae
Description: partial small subunit ribosomal RNA
Source: RNAcentral